UCAUUUGUUUCUAAUAAAGAUGUUGAAGGGCUUACCAAGCCAGGAAUUGCGAUGUGCUGCCUUUGUAUUGAUGUCUCCCAUGUCUGUUUUAAAAAAGAGAGUGCGGUCUUCACGAGUCUUAACGAGCAUACUCGGAAAAGAAGGACAGAAACGACAGCGAUUAAGUGCUAUAGCAGUGUUGAGUAUGAACGGCACUACAGUAUAUGAAAGAGAGAAAGAAACGACAGACAUUAGGCGCUAUAUAAUAGUGUCCAGUAUGAACAGCAUAUGAGAGAGAAAAAGAAAUUACAGUCAUUUAGUUCUCUAUAAUAGUGUCCAAUAUAAAAGAAUUUACAAUCAUUAAGUGCUAUAUAACAGUGUUUAGUUUGAAAGUAUGAAAAAAAGAGAAAUUAAAGGCAUUGAGUGUUCUGUAAGUGCCUAAUACGAAAAGCGCUUUAUAAAAGAAAUAAAUGUUAGUAGCUGAAAGAAAAUUAGUCAUUGAGUGUUCUAUAGUAUAGUGUCCAAUUCAAAAAUAUUUGUAAGAAGUCAUUAAGUGCUAUAUGAUAGUGUCCAAUAUGAAAGGCGCUAUAUAAAAGUAAAAAAAAAUGAGUCAUUAAGUGUCAUACGUUUGUACUCAAUAUGAAAAUCCAUUGUAUGAAUUUAAAAACUGCCAGUCAUUAAGUCUAUAUAAUAGUGUCCAGUAUAAAGGGCACUAUAUGCAAAAAAAGAAAUAAAUAAGUCAUUAAGUGCUCUGUAAUAGUAUCCAGUAUGAAAGGCAUUUUUUAAAAAUGAGAGUCAAUAAGUGCUAUACUGUAUAAUUGAGUUCACUGUCAUUGAAUUCUGUAUAGUGGUGUAAACACGAAAGGCGCUACAAGAAAGAAAGACAGCCAUUGAAUGCUUCCACAAUGUUGUUCAAUAGAAACAGCGCUAUAUGAAACCAAAUAAAAAAGAAAGAAAUGAAUCAAUCAUUGGGUGCUAUAUAAUAGUGUCAAAAUAUAAACGGCCCUAUAAGAAAGAAAGAAAGAAAGAAAGAAAGAAAGAAUGAAAAAGAAUCUCCAGUGGUCUGUGGUUGCGCAUAUUUAAGGUGACAAGUCAGUUACGAGUCGCCGUAUCUGCGAGUGCGUUUGUGGUGUUCUAAGAUGGACCGGCUCCCAGUCCUCUCCACGGCUGGUCCUUGCUUUGCUCCAGAUGCAUUUACGAGGCCAUGACCCCGACUUGGGCGAAGGCAGGCUUGUUAAUGUGAAGUUAUGCCCAGUUUAUAACGAGUGACUUGCCUCGCCCUGCGCGUAUUUCUCGCGAGGAGAUGGAUUGUACUCCGCCUGGACGUUUCGCUUUAGCUUUAUUAAGCUAAAUUCACUUUAAAAA
Erpetoichthys calabaricus (reedfish) is the source of this 1344-nucleotide long non-coding RNA. RefSeq lists it as uncharacterized. The transcript has 2 exons. The record is from RefSeq and is a predicted model, not a curated record. NCBI's taxonomy places the organism in Eukaryota, Metazoa, Chordata, Cladistia, Polypteriformes, Polypteridae.